This 243-nucleotide unclassified non-coding RNA is filed under the name Hevea brasiliensis (rubber tree). The record is from RNAcentral. Lineage: Eukaryota; Viridiplantae; Streptophyta; Magnoliopsida; Malpighiales; Euphorbiaceae.
AAGAAUCCCAGUUGCUAACCUUUAUUCCUCUCUCGCUCUAGUCAAAAUUUGCAAUGCUUGUUACAAAUGUGCAGUUUUCCUUUUUCCUUUUUGUGAGGUUUUCAUGAGUCAUGAUAAAAUCUGACACAGUGUUGCAAUUGAAGUACACUUUUUGUUAUCAGUUAAUUCAUGCAUUAUUAUGAUGAAAUGUCAUGAGUAUAACAUAAUGCUUGCAAAAAUCAUAAAAUUUGAUGUAUUUUAUAU